Molecule: ribosomal RNA, 531 nt
Filed under: uncultured bacterium
Lineage: Bacteria
Description: bacterial SSU rRNA
Rfam family: Bacterial small subunit ribosomal RNA
Source: RNAcentral
AGAGUUUGAUCCUGGCUCAGGACGAACGCUGGCGGCGCGCUUAACACAUGCAAGUCGAGCGAGAACCAGGCCUUCGGGCCUGGGGAAAGCGGCGAACGGGUGAGUAACACGUGGGCAACCCACCCUUGGUACUGGGAUAGCCCGGGGAAACCCGGAUUAAUACCGGAUGGCCCAACAGCUCUUCGGGGCGGUUGGAAAAGGUAGCUUCGGCCUCCGACCAAGGACGGGCCCGCGGCGGAUUAGCUUGUUGGUGAGGUAACGGCUCACCAAGGCGACGAUCCGUAGCUGGUCUGAGAGGACGAUCAGCCACACUGGGACUGAGACACGGCCCAGACUCCUACGGGAGGCAGCAGUGGGGAAUCUUGCGCAAUGGGCGAAAGCCUGACGCAGCGACGCCGCGUGGGGGAAGAAGGCUUUCGGGUUGUAAACCCCUUUCAGGAGAGACGAAGCUACUCGGGUGAAUAGCCCAGAGGGUGACGGUAUCUCCAGAAGAAGCCCCGGCCAACUACGUGCCAGCAGCCGCGGUAAUAC